Molecule: long non-coding RNA, 738 nt
Filed under: Homo sapiens (human)
Lineage: Eukaryota; Metazoa; Chordata; Mammalia; Primates; Hominidae
Description: HSALNT0107186
Source: RNAcentral
CCCUUAGCCAAGCAUUCAUCAAAAAGAACUGGAUGUUGAAAGAAAAGACUAUAUGCUUUCAAGUUUCCACGUGGAAAGAAAGGUUUCUCUCUCCACACAUGAUGAAGCAACGUUGUAUUUGAACACCUAAACUGCUCAACUUCAGCCACUUCUCCUACAGGAAAAACAAAGGCUCUCCCAGAAAGCUGAGCGCAGAGCAAAAGAACACAGCCUACGCACUCUGCCUCAGCAGUGGCUUCCAGUCACCAAAUAAAACAAAUUACCCAUAAAACAGUCAUUUCUUUCCUUUCAACGUAUACUGAGGAAUCUGGGAACAACUGGACACAGUUCGCCACCUUGUGAGCAGGAGAAGACGUGCAGUUUCCUGAAGGACAGCCAACCCUCAGUGCAGAAGCCACAGAGAGAAGCUUUGUGACUCAGGGCCCCAGGCUCCAGAGCACCACAUACGAUGUCUUUGGAGAUGUGCGGUGCGGGGUUAUUUCUGCACUCUCUCCCAGGGCCAGCCUGAGGCCACAUAAAUAACUGAAAUGGGUCUUUAUUGCACACACUACAGCAUUGCUGCAAAACCCUUAUCAAAGUCAUGAACUUGGAGUCAACGAACCUGUUUCUGCUACUAACUACCAAGUGACCUUGAGCAAGUCGCCUAAUUCCUGUGGGCCACAUUUGCAAAUGAGAAAGAUUGACCAGGUGAUCUACAGGGGCUCAUCCAGCUCUAAAAAUGUCUUAUUAAGAGUCCUG